Long non-coding RNA from Dioscorea cayenensis subsp. rotundata (Guinea yam), 272 nucleotides. RefSeq lists it as uncharacterized. NCBI's taxonomy places the organism in Eukaryota, Viridiplantae, Streptophyta, Magnoliopsida, Dioscoreales, Dioscoreaceae. The transcript has 3 exons. The record is from RefSeq and is a predicted model, not a curated record.
AAAAAUCAUGGAAAUUGUUGGACUUGGCUUCACAUUCUGGUUUAGCUAUCGGUAUCUGAUAUUCAAGAAAAACAGAGAUGAGUUGUUUGCAAAAAUUGAAGAUCUCAAGGGACUGAUUGUAGGGUCUGAUGAUGAUUGACGUAAGAGAUAUCUAGAAUUAUCCUGCAAUUAUCUUUAAUGAGAAUACAUCUAUGCAAAUUCAACCAAUGCUGAAAUUCUGUUAUACAAACUCAAUUUGAGAGCUGGCGGUAUAUUUGAGCAAUCUGCACAUG